CGAACUCAGCUCAGAGUUCCUGAGAGUUCUGAGAAGCCCAGAGAGCCACAUUCUGAAGUCUCCUGGUGAAGAUAAGUGAGGACACGUGGCAUCUGUUUUUAUCUUGCCAGCGAAGUCUUUCUGCUCCUCUCCCUAGCCAGUGCCCUCGGCCUGUCUCCACCACCACAUCUAUGUGGCAGAUGUGUCCUUCAGCCGCCUGGAUGCUCCAGCUGAAAGAGACUCUGAAAGGGCACCAGUAGACCCACCAAACAGCUAACCGAGGAGCCACAGGGCCCAUGCUGGAACUUGUCCCUUUGGAUUUAUUUUAUUUUUUAAAAUUAAUGUAUUACCAUGGA
Long non-coding RNA from Mastomys coucha (southern multimammate mouse), 335 nucleotides. RefSeq lists it as uncharacterized. The record is from RefSeq and is a predicted model, not a curated record. The transcript is spliced from 3 exons. NCBI's taxonomy places the organism in Eukaryota, Metazoa, Chordata, Mammalia, Rodentia, Muridae.